GUGUUGGCUUGGUCGAAGACCGUUUUUCACAUUAUGCCAUGUGUUAUUUGGUUCAAAACGAAGCCCAAAGCAAUUUUUGUUACGACGGUCACUGGUUUCGGCAUUUCAGUCACUUCAGUAACUUUUACGUGCAAUUACAAAU
Drosophila gunungcola (fruit fly) is the source of this 142-nucleotide small nucleolar RNA. The record is from RefSeq and is a predicted model, not a curated record. Lineage: Eukaryota; Metazoa; Arthropoda; Insecta; Diptera; Drosophilidae.